CUUAUCUCCAUUUCAACGGGACGAUUCUGGACCGCAGUGAUCACAGCCCCCCUUUCCCUCACUGAGACUUACCAGAAGGGACUCUGCACAGGGAAAGGCUCAUUGGUGGGGCUGCCUGGGAGAACUCCCAAGACACACAGGUGGAGCCUUUCCCGAAGGAGGAGCCCAGGGACGCAAGCGAGAGCCUCUGCAAGUCACCCCAGCUGCCGCGUUUCCACCCAGGAGGAAGACGCACGUGGGGCGGCACGAGAGAUAGACGGAGGACCCACAAGAAGAAGGAUGCUAAUGAUGUUCCAAGUGUUGACGGUUCUCUGGCCCCAGGAGACAGCCUGGAAGACAUCCCUAGAUGCUGAGAAUCCUCGUCAAGAACGACUCUUCACUGCCAAAGUCAACCACUUCACUCUCAGCAACGGCUGUCAUUUCCAUGUUUAAGAUGCACACUUUGCCUAUAGAAGCAUUCACAACAUAGUCUCUCCUCCAUUGUAG
This is a long non-coding RNA of Pan paniscus (pygmy chimpanzee), 486 nucleotides long. The record is from Ensembl. Lineage: Eukaryota; Metazoa; Chordata; Mammalia; Primates; Hominidae.